AUUGAACGCUGGCGGCAGGCCUAACACAUGCAAGUCGAAUGGUAACAGGAAACAGCUUGCUGUUUCGCUGACGAGUGGCGGACGGGUGAGUAAUGUCUGGGAAACUGCCUGAUGGAGGGGGAUAACUACUGGAAACGGUAGCUAAUACCGCAUAACGUCGCAAGACCAAAGAGGGGGACCUUCGGGCCUCUUGCCAUCAGAUGUGCCCAGAUGGGAUUAGAUAGUAGGUGGGGUAACGGCUCACCUAGGGGACGAUCCCUAGCUGGUCUGAGAGGAUGACCGGCCAACUUAGAACGGAGACACGGUCCAUCAUACUACGGGAGGCAGCAGUGAGGAAGAUUGCAAAAUGGGGGAAAGCUUGAUGAAGCAAUGCCGCGUGUAUGAAAAAGGCAUUCGGGUUGUAAAGAACUUUCAGCGGGGAGGAAGGGAGUAAAAUUAAUACCUUUGCUCAUUGACGUAACCCGCAGAAGAAGCUCCGGCUAGCUCCGUG
Molecule: ribosomal RNA, 490 nt
Filed under: uncultured bacterium
Lineage: Bacteria
Description: partial 16S ribosomal RNA
Rfam family: Bacterial small subunit ribosomal RNA
Source: RNAcentral